Molecule: long non-coding RNA, 274 nt
Organism: Carassius auratus (goldfish)
Lineage: Eukaryota; Metazoa; Chordata; Actinopteri; Cypriniformes; Cyprinidae
Exons: 3
Source: RefSeq, a predicted model, not a curated record
UUUAGCGUGUGCACUGCUGUAAGUGUGUGAACUCUGCCCUUUUUCUCUCUCAUUCCAGCCAGUGAAGCUAUGCAACCAAUCUUGCUCGGACCCAACAUAAACUCUAAAAAGGACAGUUGCUGUGAGUUCACCUGGUCUCACAUAACAGUCACACAGAGGCAGGGGGCGGACGGCGGCCUGGAAGAUGGUCAUCAGACAGCCCUGCACCGGGCAGCUGUUGUGGGAAACCGUGACGCUAUCUCUGCCCUCAUCCAUGGAAGCUGUGCACUUGAUU